This 205-nucleotide ribosomal RNA is filed under the name uncultured bacterium. RNAcentral's name for it is "partial 16S ribosomal RNA". It matches the Rfam family "Bacterial small subunit ribosomal RNA", at positions 568 to 774 of the family's 1533-position model. The record is from RNAcentral.
AGCGCAGGCGGUUUUUUAAGUCUGAUGUGAAAGCCUUCGGCUCAACCGAAGAAGUGCAUCGGAAACUGGGAAACUUGAGUGCAGAAGAGGACAGUGGAACUCCAUGUGUAGCGGUGAAAUGCGUAGAUAUAUGGAAGAACACCAGUGGCGAAGGCGGCUGUCUGGUCUGUAACUGACGCUGAGGCUCAAAGUAUAGUAGCAAACA